UACGAAGGGGGCUAGCGUUGCUCGGAAUCACUGGGCGUAAAGCGCACGUAGGCGGCUUUCUAAGUCAGGGGUGAAAUCCUGGAGCUCAACUCCAGAACUGCCUUUGAUACUGAGGAUCUUGAGUUCGGGGAGAGGUGAGUGGAACUGCGAGUGUAGAGGUGAAAUUCGUAGAUAUUCGCAAGAACACCAGUGGCGAAGGCGGCUCACUGGCCCGAUACUGACGCUGAGGCACGAAAGCGUGGGGGAGCAAACAGGG
RNAcentral lists this ribosomal RNA (256 nucleotides) under uncultured bacterium. Its description in RNAcentral is "partial 16S ribosomal RNA". It matches the Rfam family "Bacterial small subunit ribosomal RNA", at positions 524 to 777 of the family's 1533-position model. The record is from RNAcentral.